RNAcentral lists this long non-coding RNA (736 nucleotides) under Sus scrofa (pig). RNAcentral's name for it is "lncRNA (ENSSSCG00050029982.1)". The record is from RNAcentral. Lineage: Eukaryota; Metazoa; Chordata; Mammalia; Artiodactyla; Suidae.
GAUUAGGAGGAAGAAAAAAAAUCCAGACCAGCAAUUUACAAAUCAGCUCCUCUAGGACAGAAGAUGUACUUAACAAACAAACUUUUUUCAAGACACAGAGACCCAGAUCAGACUUCUUCCAUGGCUGCGCUUGCUGGUCUCCACACAAUGAGAAAUAGAUACUUAAGGUUGCUGCCAUCCUCAGGACUCUUGCUGCUGUUUUUGCCAUUGGGAUUUGCAGCCCUGGAAACAAGAUCCUGUGCUUGGUGGUGCCCUCCAAAACCUCCAUGUAUCAAUGCCGAUAACUGCCGUUGCUUUCCAGGAUUUGGUUCUUCAUCUGAGGUGAUCUUCACUGGCCCCUUGGAGAGUUGUGAUGAUAUCAAAGAGUGUGGACCAUCCUGGAAUGUGUCCUCUGAAAUACAUAUAGACUGCCAGGACUUUAACGAGAGCUACUCCCUUUGCAAAAAAGGAAACAGUCUUCUUUCUCGUGAAAUGUUUGUGAAUGAGUGUAGAAGCAUGACUUCUGGACUAGAGGCACUGCUGAUUAUAACAUUGAAAACUGCAGCCGAAAAGCUUAAAGCCUCUGACCCCACAGAAUGUGCCCAGUGGUGCCCUCCAAACUCCAAAUGUGUCAAUGCUAACAUCUGACACUGCACUUUGGGGUUCAAUUCAUCAUCUGGAGAAAUCAUCACCAGCUGUUCAGAGAGUUGUGAUGGUACAGAGGUUUGGAGGGAGGGUGGCAUACCAAAGUUGUGGG